UACGUAGGUCCCGAGCGUUAUCCGGAAUUACUGGGCGUAAAGAGUUCGUAGGCGGUACGUUAAGUUCGGCAUGAAAGACCGGGGCUCAACCCCGAGUUUGUGCCGGAUACUGGCGAACUAGAAUCCGGGAGAGGUUGGCAGAAUGGUACGAGUAGGGGUGCAAUCCGUUGAUACGUACUGGAAUACCAAAAGCGAAGGCAGCCAACUGGAACGGUAUUGACGCUGAGGAACGAAAGCGUGGGGAGCGAAAAGGAUUAGAUACCCGAGUAGU
Molecule: ribosomal RNA, 271 nt
Filed under: uncultured bacterium
Lineage: Bacteria
Description: partial 16S ribosomal RNA
Rfam family: Bacterial small subunit ribosomal RNA
Source: RNAcentral